Molecule: ribosomal RNA, 761 nt
Filed under: uncultured bacterium
Lineage: Bacteria
Description: bacterial SSU rRNA
Rfam family: Bacterial small subunit ribosomal RNA
Source: RNAcentral
CGAACGCGAAAGAAGCCUUCGGGUUUCAAGUAGAGUGGCGUCCGGGUGAGUAACACGUAGGUAAUCUACCUUCGGGUGGGGAAUAACGCAGGGAAACUUGCGCUAAUACCGCAUAAUGCAGCGGCACCACAUGGUGACAGUUGUUAAAGCGGGGGAUUUUCGAACCUCGCGCCUGAAGAGGAGCCUGCGGCAGAUUAGCUAGUUGGUAAGGUAACGGCUUACCAAGGCGACGAUCUGUAGCCGGCCUGAGAGGGCGGUCGGCCACACUGACACUGACAUACGGGUCAGACUCCUACGGGAGGCAGCAGUCGGGAAUUUUGGGCAAUGGGCGAAAGCCUGACCCAGCAACGCCGCGUGAAGGAUGAAAUCCCUCGGGAUGUAAACUUCGCAAGAAUAGGAAGAAUAGACGAGUACUAAUACUGCUCGUGAUGACGGUACUACUUGUAAGCUCCGGCUAACUCCGUGCCAGCAGCCGCGGUAAUACGGGGGGAGCAAGCGUUGUUCGGAUUUACUGGGCGUAAAGGGCGCGUAGGCGGCCAGCGCAAGUCAGUUGUGAAAUCUCCGGGCUUAACUCGGAAAGGUCAACUGAUACUGCGCGGCUAGAGUGCAGAAGGGGCAACUGGAAUUCUCGGUGUAGCGGUGAAAUGCGUAGAUAUCGAGAGGAACACCUGCGGCGAAGGCNGGUUGCUGGGCUGACACUGACGCUGAUGCGCGAAAGCCAGGGGAGCGAACGGGAUUAGAUACCCCGGUAGUCCUGGCCU